RNAcentral lists this ribosomal RNA (268 nucleotides) under Gammaproteobacteria bacterium. RNAcentral describes it as "partial 16S ribosomal RNA". It matches the Rfam family "Bacterial small subunit ribosomal RNA", at positions 555 to 823 of the family's 1533-position model. The record is from RNAcentral. Lineage: Bacteria; Pseudomonadati; Pseudomonadota; Gammaproteobacteria.
UGGGCGUAAGCGCACGCAGGCGGUCUGUUAAGUCAGAUGUGAAAUCCCCGGGCUUAACCUGGGAACUGCAUUUGAAACUGGCAGGCUUGAGUCUCGUAGAGGGGGGUAGAAUUCCAGGUGUAGCGGUGAAAUGCGUAGAGAUCUGGAGGAAUACCGGUGGCGAAGGCGGCCCCCUGGACGAAGACUGACGCUCAGGUGCGAAAGCGUGGGGAGCAAACAGGAUUAGAUACCCUGGUAGUCCACGCCGUAAACGAUGUCGACUUGGAGG